Fukomys damarensis (Damara mole-rat) is the source of this 1735-nucleotide long non-coding RNA. The record is from Ensembl. NCBI's taxonomy places the organism in Eukaryota, Metazoa, Chordata, Mammalia, Rodentia, Bathyergidae.
CUCCUAUUACAUCUCUGAUUUCAGCGUCUGAGGGCGGGGCCGGGCGGGGCCUCCUCGUGAGUGAGUGCACAGGCAGGGCGAGGACGCGGGAUGAGACGGGUGGGCGGUGAGGCCCCGCCCCUCACAUUGGCUCCGCCCCAGGGCGUCCUCUCCGGGCUGGGCGUGGGCUUUUUGCUCUCCCUAUGGGUGGCCUUGGGUGCCACGCUGUACCCACCCAGUGAGCAGACCAUGGGUGUCCUGCCGUCUUCCGCCACGGGCUGUAUGGUUUCCUUCAGCAACGCCUCGGUCCUAUACUCGCUUGCCACCAUCAACAACUCUGGGGUCUGGAAGAAAUUCCUUCGGGCGCCAAGAGCGCCCCCACCUUCCGGCCUGCAGCGGAGGACCUCCCGCUUUUCCUGCAGUGUGAGGCCAAGGGGCGCGGGUCCUGGGGGCCUAGCAGCUGCAGAGACCAGGACCCCCGGGACCAUGAGACCAACCUCUGAGGGCGGGGUCAGCACCUGGGAUUGACUUGCGGCUGGGCCAAUGCCAGGCUACCUGCCAGGGGCCUCCUACUGCUAUUGGCUGGACAGCAUCCUAUGCAAAUAAUCUUCGACAGGCUCCCAUUGCCUUAUGGGAAGGCCCACAGUUCAGUGGGGACCUCAGAAAGCGAGCUUCCUGGAAAGAGGGUCGGUGCAGGUAUCUUUGUGUAAAUGAAAAUGAGGUCCUACUGGAGCGGGGUGGAUCUGAAUCCAAACUCUGGGGAAGAGCGCUGGGCCGGGGGUGGUGCUGCACGCCUGUCACCUCGGCACUCUGGAGGCCGUGUCUCAAACGGAACAAGCAAGAGAAGAAAAGAAAGUGACGGAGAAACAGACCCUAGAGCCACCAGAACAUGGAAGCAGAGAGCCAGGAAAUCCCAGGAGUUGGCAGCAGCUGCAGGAAGCCGGAAGCCGGAAGGAGGCUGGGACUCGGGCUUCCUCAGAGCCCUCAGCAGCCGCGUCUCUGCUGAUGCCUUGACUUCGGAUUCCUGAACUCCCAGAGGACUCUUUGUGUUGUGUUCUGCUGCCUAGCUGAUGGCAGUUUGUUCCCGCAGCCGCAGAGCUCGGACUCACCACCUGACCCAGCCCGGCCACCCCUGAGUACUUUCUUCCUUUUUCACGGCUGAGUAGUAUUCUGUUGCUUGGAUAGACCAUUUGUUCACCAAGAGUGGACUCUGGUUCCCAGCAGUUGGUGAUUAGAAAUAAAACUGCUACAGACAUUCGUGUGCAAGUCUUCAUGGGAACGUAUAGCAGCCCUUCUUUUGUUUUGCUUUUUCUUUAUGCUGCUAGGGAUGGGAAUGCUGAGCUAAAUCUCCAGCCCGUUUUUUUAUUUUUUAUUUUGAGACAGGUGGGGGGAUUUAGCUCAGGAUUUCCUCCACCUGCCUCACAAGCGCGAGGUCCUUAGUUCAAUUCCUAGUACCAAAAAAAAGCAUAUUUUGAGACAGGAUCUCACUGAGGUGCCCAGGGUGGGCUCCAACUUGGGAUCCUCCUGCCUCAGCCUUCCAGAGUGCUGGGAUGAUGGGUGUGGGCCAGCACACCCGGCUUUGGUACUUUUUCUUCCAGCAGUGCCCAGCGUCCCUAUGUCAUGACUGAAGUUGUCCCCAGCUCGAACUGGAACGUGCUGCCCCCCUCUCCCCACCGCUGCAGUACAGGCAGCUUUCUCACCGCUGACUGAUCAGGCUAAUCUCCUCCUCCGCUCGGUUUUGAAACAGCCACAAGCG